GCGUACUACUCCACCACGAUAGGCGUCUCGCCUGAAAAAAAGGAGGAAAUGAGCCCAGGCUCGGGCUGCGGCAGUGUGGAGACCUGUCGUAAUGCGGCUGAACACCGCGAGGGCGCCUCUUGCGGAGGCAGGGCGCUUAGAGCAAAAGCAAAUGGCA
Molecule: non-coding RNA, 157 nt
Filed under: bovine gut metagenome
Description: malK-I RNA
Rfam family: malK-I RNA
Source: RNAcentral